UUGAAAUCCCCCGGGAAUUGUAAUUUGAAGAGAUUUGGGUCCGGCCGGCAGGGGUUAAGUCCACUGGAAAGUGGCGCCACAGAGGGUGACAGCCCCGUGAACCCCUUUAACGCCUUCAUCCCAGAUCUCCAAGAGUCGAGUUGUUUGGGAAUGCAGCUCUAAGUGGGUGGUAAAUUCCAUCUAAAGCUAAAUACCGGCGAGAGACCGAUAGCGAACAAGUACAGUGAUGGAAAGAUGAAAAGCACUUUGAAAAGAGAGUGAAAAAGUACGUGAAAUUGUUGAAAGGGAAGGGCUUGCAAGCAGACACUUAACUGGGCCAGCAUCGGGGCGGCGGGGAGCAAAACCACCGGGGAAUGUACCUUUCGAGGAUUAUAACCCCGGUCCUUACUCCCUCACCAUCCCGAGGCCUGCAAUCUAAGGAUGCUGGCGUAAUGGUUGCAAGUCGCCCGUCUUGAAACACGG
Molecule: ribosomal RNA, 462 nt
Filed under: Metschnikowia pulcherrima
Lineage: Eukaryota; Fungi; Ascomycota; Pichiomycetes; Serinales; Metschnikowiaceae
Description: partial large subunit ribosomal RNA
Rfam family: Eukaryotic large subunit ribosomal RNA
Source: RNAcentral